GACGUAGGGCGCGAGCGUUGUCCGGAUUUAUUGGGCGUAAAGAGCUCGUAGGCGGCUCGUUGCGUCGGCUGUGAAAACCCGCAGCUCAACUGUGGGCUUGCAGCUGAUACGGGCGGGCUGGGAUUCGGUAGAGGAGACUGGAAUUCAUGGUGUAGCAGUGAAAUGCGUAGAGAUCAUGAGGAAGACCAGUGGCGAAGGCGGGUCUCUGGACAGUUCCUGACACUGAGGCACGAAGGCCAGGGGAGCAAACGGG
RNAcentral lists this ribosomal RNA (253 nucleotides) under uncultured bacterium. Its description in RNAcentral is "partial 16S ribosomal RNA". It matches the Rfam family "Bacterial small subunit ribosomal RNA", at positions 524 to 776 of the family's 1533-position model. The record is from RNAcentral.